UUUCUCCGCCGGCGACCGGCGCACGGGUGAGUAACACGUAUGCAACCUGCCCCUCGUCAGGGGGACAACCCGCCGAAAGGCGGGCUAAACCCGCGUACAUGCCACCGGGGCAUCCCGGAGGCAGGAAAGGCUUCGGCCGGACAGGGAUGGGCAUGCGGCGCAUUAGGCAGUAGGCGGGGUAACGGCCCACCUAACCGACGAUGCGUAGGGGUUCUGAGAGGAAGGUCCCCCACACUGGUACUGAGACACGGACCAGACUCCUACGGAAGGCAGCAG
This 276-nucleotide ribosomal RNA is filed under the name uncultured bacterium. Its description in RNAcentral is "partial 16S ribosomal RNA". It matches the Rfam family "Bacterial small subunit ribosomal RNA", at positions 80 to 354 of the family's 1533-position model. The record is from RNAcentral.